GAUUCCCCUAGUAGCGGCGAGCGAACCGGGAAGAGCUCAAAUUUGUAAUCUGGCACCUUCGGUGCCCGAGUUGUAAUCUCUAGAAGUGUUUUCCGUGCCCCACCGCAUACAAGUCUGUUGGAAUACAGCGUCAUAGUGGUGAGAACCCCGUAGAUGAUGCGGAUGCCUGGUGCUCUGUGAUACACUUUCAAGAGUCGAGUUGUUUGGGAAUGCGGCUCAAAUUGGGUGGGAAAUUCCCUCUAAAGCUAAAUAUUGGCGAGAGACCGAUAGCGAACAAGUACCGUGAGGGAAAGAUGAAAAGCACUUUGGAAAGAGAGUUAACAGUACGUGAAAUUGUUGGAAGGGAAACGCUUGAAGUCAGACUUGCGCUUUGGAGUUCACCCUCACGGUGUAUUCUUCGAUUUGCAGGCCAGCAUCAGUUUUUGGGGGUAAAAAAGGGUUUUGAGAAUGUGGCAACUCCGGUUGUGUUAUAGCUCUUGACUGGAUUUAUCCCUGGGGACUGAGGAACGCAGUACACUUUUUGCAGUCUCUCGAGACUUUUUGUACUUAGGAUGCUGGUGGAAUGGCUUUAAACGACCCGUCUUGAAACACGGACCAAGGAGUCUAACAUGCUUGCGAGUGUUUGGGUGUCAAACCCGGACGCGCAAUGAAAGUGAAUGGAGGUGGGAAGCGCAAGCUGCACCAUCACCGAUCUGGAUUUUCUAAGAUGGAUUUGAGUA
RNAcentral lists this ribosomal RNA (719 nucleotides) under Colacogloea sp. Its description in RNAcentral is "partial large subunit ribosomal RNA". It matches the Rfam family "Eukaryotic large subunit ribosomal RNA", at positions 73 to 796 of the family's 3401-position model. The record is from RNAcentral. Lineage: Eukaryota; Fungi; Basidiomycota; Microbotryomycetes; Colacogloeaceae.